CAUUGAUUAUUACUUCUAUAGGAAGGGUUUCGUGAGUAAUAUCUCCAGAAGACAAUGGACGACCAUCUAUGACUUCUACUGUCACGGACACAAAAUACAGACUUGAAAUCUAACAAGAAGUUCAAGAAGAAGUGGCAGAACUAGAUUAAACAGAUGAGUACAAGAACAACAUUAGAAAGGUGAGCUAGAACUCCAAGAAAUGUGUUGUCGAGACUGAAGAACUCUUCAGCC
This 231-nucleotide long non-coding RNA is filed under the name Physcomitrium patens. RNAcentral's name for it is "long non-coding RNA (PPAT_LNC013716)". The record is from RNAcentral. Lineage: Eukaryota; Viridiplantae; Streptophyta; Bryopsida; Funariales; Funariaceae.